RNAcentral lists this long non-coding RNA (1991 nucleotides) under Parus major (Great Tit). Its description in RNAcentral is "lncRNA (ENSPMJG00000012894.1)". The record is from RNAcentral. Lineage: Eukaryota; Metazoa; Chordata; Aves; Passeriformes; Paridae.
AACCACAGAAAAUCAGUUUCUGAACCAGGAAAAAAAAAAACCAAAACCAAAACUGAACAGAAAAUAGGAUAGAUUAAAUCAGUAGAUACUGGAGAAGACUUUUUCAGACACUCAAAAUUUUAUUACAUCAAAAAGUUCUUCACAUGUGACAUCUAAGAAAUGAAAAAUUUGGAUUUAUUUGAUUACCAUUCUCUGGGGCACGAGAAGAUAAUUUUACAUAGGAGAGGAGAAAUCAGUGACCAUGUUAAAUUACAUGCACUUCAGUAGGCAUAGUCCAAACCAUACGCUGUCAGUGCAAAGAUCCUGGUUUGGCACUGGCUGCACUCAAUCUCCUCAUGCUGCUCUGCACAGGUCUUUCUAAGCUUGAUUUAGGAGUGUCUUCCUUGGGAGGAAAUGCAGCUCAGUCUCAGCUGUGUAAGGACGUGCUGCCAGCCUGUUCACAUAUGAUUGUGGCAACAAAGAUACCCAGUCUGUUUUCUAGUGUUUUUAUCUGGUACUGGUCUCACUGAAUAAUGCAGCAUUUUUUUCUCCUCAGCCCAAUUCAAGGCAGGAGUGUCAUCUGUACAGAGGAGCAUACCAAAGGACAUGAAGAUGCUUUUUUAAAAAGUGAUACAACAAGGAAAGAAAAAUAUCCAGUUUUAUGAUGUGUCCUGUGUAAAACCACUAUGGAGGGCUCAAACCUAAGGAUCUGCCCAACAUCUUUGAUCCCACAGGUGGAUGAGAGGUCACCACUGAACAUAUUGAAUAAGUCCGUGGCCACCAGCAUGUUGCAGGAACUUGGAGAGAAGUCGCAGCUCCUUGCUGGUAUGAGACUGGUAACAUGCUAACCUGUAGCUGGAGAGAACUCACUGAGGGGAUCGAUUACCAUAAUUAGCCCCAGAAGUCACUACUGUACAGAAGUGUGGGAACCAGGUGAAGCCAAGUCUCAGAGGAGGUUGAAAGUGGUGCUCUUGAAUCCAGAUGUACAGAGUGGGAAAUCACUGCCAUUGGAAGAGAACAAUGCAAGAAAGGCUUUGCUUUACCAGCCUGCACUACAAAGGAAAAAAGAAAACCUGAGACAGUACCGAACAUGUCUCUCGGAAAUAAAGGGACAAGUUGUGGGUGACAUCCCAGGCUGCUUGACCUGCCAUGCUUCACAGAAUUACAGGAGAAGAAAGAAAGACAUGCAGCUGAAGUAAUCAUCAGAUUCCCUAUCUGCCACACCUGGAUUAUGAUCACCUCACUGAAAAGCAAAUGCCCACUAAGGAGCAGAUCAUAAUAGCCUGUGUCUCACUGUCAAAAGCAAACAAGGACACUUGUGAAGAUAAAACAAAGCACCUCUAUGAAGGAAGAACAGAAGUAUGCCUUGUGUUCAGGUGGGUUUUACCAGAUGGUAGAUAGUUUUCCAACACAUGUUUAAAAACUAAAGAGGAUUUGUUUGUUUGUUUUUAUAACUAUAUGUUUAUCUGGUUUCUUAACUGUCUAAAAAGAUGUCUCACCGGAAAUGUCUAACUGGCACCAAUUCCAAAUAUGUGUUCUCCAGGAAAUUAGGAAAUUCAUAUUAAAAAAAAAAUACCUCUAGAGGAGAACAAAAGUUUAGAAAUUCCUAGAAUUUCCUACCAAAAAAGAAAUCCUGUUUCUGAAAACUAAAUAUUGCUUGAAUGUGUAUCUUUGAAGAUGUAGUAAAUUGCCAUUCCUAUCUUGGAUGAAUUCCUCACAUAAUUUUUUUUUUUUCUGAAACAGCUGAGGCAGUAACCCUGAACAAUGCCUUCAAGUAAAGCAGGGCCCUAAAACCUGAGAACUCUGUAGCAGAGUACCAGGAAAUUUUGUGGUAUGUGUGUGGCUUUUGUGGCAUUGUGAGACCCAAAGAUUAUUAACCACAAGAAGCUUUUGCUUCAAUUGAGCAGAAAUCUGUCAUUUGGUAGCAGCGUGACAAAAUAUCUUUUUGUUGUUGUUGAAACGUUUUGGUUUCCAGGAAUCAGCAUUUUCUAAUAAAAAUGAGGGAAAAAACA